Long non-coding RNA from Acanthochromis polyacanthus (spiny chromis), 642 nucleotides. RefSeq lists it as uncharacterized. The transcript is spliced from 3 exons. The record is from RefSeq and is a predicted model, not a curated record. NCBI's taxonomy places the organism in Eukaryota, Metazoa, Chordata, Actinopteri, Pomacentridae.
CCGGCGCUAAAUGUAUUUUCUAAGAUUAGAAAUCCGAUUUACCUUAUCAGUGUCAGCCAUCUUCUCUUCUCCUUUUCGUCCAGAGGAAAGCGGUAGAAAGAUAUCGUUUUAUUUACAUCAUUUCUAUUGUUGCAACACGGGACACAACACAGCACCAUUAUAUCGUUGGUUUGGUAGGACACGGAAGUGACGUUUUUGGACACGAUGACGUAAUUACUAGCCAUCCCCAUUGCAAUCAGACAGGAGAUGCGCCAAACAGACGUCGCUGCUGUGUGGCCACAAUGUUGUCAAAAAAACAAAAAUCUGGUUACCAGAAGAGGAAGGAAAGGAAAGAGAGAGAGGAGAGAGAAAAGAAAGGCGUACGAUCUCUGAGCCAGUUUUUCAAUAAGAAAGCAGCUGAUGAUGAUGAGUCAGCAACACCCCUGUCUCCCCAUACCAUCACCCCUCCCUGCCCCAGUGAAGAAGAGCCAGGGCCCUCUCAUAUAGAACCAACAGUCGCAGCAGAGGAAGAAGAACAAGAACAAGGGAAAGAGAGACAGGUGGAAAAAUGUAGUGGAAAGGCAGAAAGUGUUGACCCAGGUUUGUGGCCAGCAAAUUUAACUGACAAAGACAGAGAAGCUAUUGUGAGGGCAUUGUCCACUC